This 434-nucleotide ribosomal RNA is filed under the name uncultured bacterium. RNAcentral's name for it is "partial 16S ribosomal RNA". It matches the Rfam family "Bacterial small subunit ribosomal RNA", at positions 29 to 507 of the family's 1533-position model. The record is from RNAcentral.
AGCGAACGCUGGCGGCAGGCCUAACACAUGCAAGUCGAACGGACCUUUCGGGGUUUGUGGCGGACGGGUGAGUAACACGUGGGAACGUGCCUUUAGGUUCGGAAUAGCUCCUGGAAACGGGUGGUAAUGCCGAAUGUGCCCUUCUGGGGAAAGAUUUAUCGCCUUUAGAGCGGCCCGCGUCUGAUUAGCUAGUUGGUUGAGGUAACGGCUCACCAAGGCGACGAUCAGUAGCUGGUCUGAGAGGAUGGCCAGACACAUUGGGACUGAGCCACGGCCCAAACUCCUACGGGAGGCAGCAGUGGGGAAUCGUGCGCAGUGGGCGAAAGCAUGACGCAGCCAUGCCGCGUGAAUGAUGAAGGUCGUAGGAUUGUAAAAUUCUUUCAACGGGGACGAUAAUGACGGUACCCGGAGAAGAAGCCCCGGCUAACUUCGUG